CCUUUAGCUCAAUUGAAUAGAGCAUUUGACUUCGGAUCAAAAGGUUGAAGGUUUGAAUCCUUUAAGGU
Molecule: transfer RNA, 68 nt
Filed under: bovine gut metagenome
Rfam family: tRNA
About the family: Transfer RNA (tRNA) molecules are approximately 80 nucleotides in length. Their secondary structure includes four short double-helical elements and three loops (D, anti-codon, and T loops). Further hydrogen bonds mediate the characteristic L-shaped molecular structure. tRNAs have two regions of fundamental functional importance: the anti-codon, which is responsible for specific mRNA codon recognition, and the 3' end, to which the tRNAs corresponding amino acid is attached (by aminoacyl-tRNA synthetases). tRNAs cope with the degeneracy of the genetic code in two manners: having more than one tRNA (with a specific anti-codon) for a particular amino acid; and 'wobble' base-pairing, i.e. permitting non-standard base-pairing at the 3rd anti-codon position.
Source: RNAcentral